This 496-nucleotide ribosomal RNA is filed under the name uncultured bacterium. Its description in RNAcentral is "partial 16S ribosomal RNA". It matches the Rfam family "Bacterial small subunit ribosomal RNA", at positions 29 to 507 of the family's 1533-position model. The record is from RNAcentral.
AUGAACGCUGGCGGCGUGCCUAAUACAUGCACGUCGAGCGAACAGACGAGGAGCUUGCUCCUCUGACGUUAGCGGCGGACGGGUGAGUAACACGUGGAUAACCUACCUAUAAGACUGGGAUAACUUCGGGAAACCGGAGCUAAUACCGGAUAAUAUAUUGAACCGCAUGGUUCAAUAGUGAAAGACGGUUUUGCUGUCACUUAUAGAUGGAUCCGCGCCGCAUUAGCUAGUUGGUAAGGUAACGGCUUACCAAGGCAACGAUGCGUAGCCGACCUGAGAGGGUGAUCGGCCACACUGGAACUGAGACACGGUCCAGACUCCUACGGGAGGCAGCAGUAGGGAAUCUUCCGCAAUGGGCGAAAGCUUGACGGAGCAACGCCGCGUGAGUGAUGAAGGUCUUCGGAUCGUAAAACUCUGUUAUUAGGGAAGAACAAAUGCGUAAGUAACUAUGCACGUCUUGACGGUACCUAAUCAGAAAGCCACGGCUAACUACGUG